Molecule: unclassified non-coding RNA, 25733 nt
Filed under: Diabrotica virgifera virgifera (western corn rootworm)
Lineage: Eukaryota; Metazoa; Arthropoda; Insecta; Coleoptera; Chrysomelidae
Description: solute carrier family 12 member 9
Source: RNAcentral
AUUCUUUGUAAAUUAUCUUUUUUUACUUAAAAACACUUUUUAUGACUCAUUUAUCAAUAAUUAUUAUGUACACAUAAAGAUUAUAGUAUAUCAAAUAUCCUCAAACACGAAGUGUGUCAUUCAGAUAUGAUAUAGAAUUCAUAAAUUGUAAAUAAACUGUUGCUUUUUUAAAACAAAAAUGAUAGCACCAGCUGAAGGUUCCACCAAUAAUGAACCUUUAGUGAAUAAUUCCAGUAGUUUAAGGAGACGAAUUUCAGGUCUUUUUAACAGAGAUAGUAGUAGUCAUGGAAGUAAUAGCGGGAUGGGAUAUGUGGAGUUUGGAACAUUCUCUGAAGAGUCUACCACUAGGACCUUGGGAACAUUUGCGGGAGUAUUUUGUCCAGUUACUUUGUCUAUGUUCUCAGCGCUCAUAUUUCUGCGAAUGGGUUACAUUGUAGGGAACGCAGGUUUGCUGGUGACGUUGACCCAGUUUGCAAUCGCAUAUGGUAUUUUAGUUUUUACUGUUAUGUCAAUUUGUGCUAUAUCUACAAAUGGAGCUGUUGAAGGAGGCGGUGCAUAUUUUAUGAUAAGCAGGACACUAGGGCCCGAGUUUGGGGGAUCAAUUGGUACAUUAUUUUUCUUUGCAAACAUUGUUAGCAGUGCUCUUUAUAUAUCUGGUUGCGUGGAAGGUUUAAUAGAAUUUUUUGGACCCUCAGGUUAUUUGGUAGCUGGUGUCAUUGAGAAAGGUAGAUGGUAUGGAUUCCUGUAUGGAACUUUAUUAAAUAUUUUAAAUCUCUUUAUAUGCCUCAUUGGAGCUUCGAUGUUUGCAAAGACUUCUCUAUUUAUAUUGGUGCUGGUGUGCAGCUGCUUGGGAAUUACAUUUUUCAGUUUUUUCUAUGAGGGCUUUUUGGAGGUUCCCAUCCCUGAUACAAAUACAUUGAUUCAAAAUGCCACGAUGCCUGUUACGAGAAAUUAUACUGGGCUUUCUAGUGCUACAUUUAAUAGCAAUUUGUUUCCUCAAUAUGGACAAGAUUAUACUGCCAAAGGAGAGCUAACUUCCUUUGCGACAGUAUUUGGUGUUUUGUUUUCUGGAGUUACAGGAAUCAUGGCUGGGGCCAAUAUGAGCGGUGAGCUGAAAAAUCCGGGAAAAUCCAUCCCGAGAGGAACUCUCUCCGCUGUAGGCUUUACGUUCAUCAUUUACAUCUUCAUAUCCUUUCUAACUACUGGUACCUGCACAAAAGAGCUAUUGCAAAACAAUUACGUAUAUAUGGCUGGAGUAAGCGCUUUUCCUGCAAGUGUGGCUAUUGGAUUAAUCACCGCUACGUGGUCUGCCAGCCUUAGUAACAUCAUAGGCGCUUCUAGGGUUGUUGAAGCUCUCUCGAAGGAUAGAAUUUUUGGUCCAAUCUUAAACUUUAUACCAAAAGGUACAUGGAAAGGAAAUCCAAUAGCAGCAGUGGUGCUCUCAGCAGUACUGGUCCAGUUCAUCCUUCUUAUCGGUUCUCUUAACAUCAUCGCCCAAUUGAACUCGGUUCUGUUUCUGUUGAGCUAUUUGGCUACGAAUAUAGCCUGCUUGGGACUAGAAUUAGCAGGUGCUCCAAACUUCCGUCCGUCGUUUAUGUACUUUACGUGGCACACGGCUCUCUUGGCGUUCUUGGGGACGAUGAUCAUGAUGUUCGUGAUAAGUCCCAUCUAUGCAGCCAGUAGCAUACUGCUGUGUUUGAUAUUGGUGAUCGCUCUGCAUCUGUUUUCGCCCUCCAAAGAAGCUCAGUGGGGAAGUAUAUCACAAGCUUUGAUAUUUCACCAGGUACGAAAAUAUUUAUUGCUAUUGGAUUCUCGUAAAGAUCAUGUAAAGUUUUGGCGUCCACAAGUUCUCCUAUUGGUAAACAGUCCACGAUCAUCCUGUCCUCUCAUAGAUUUUGUCAACGAUCUCAAAAAGGGUGGCUUGUAUGUUAUAGGUCACGUUGAAACAGGAGAAAUGAGCGAAGAAGGCGUUGAUCCGACUUUAAAUCAGGCACCCCAUUGGUUGACGUUAGUUGAUCACCUCAAGGUAAAAGCUUUCAUUGAAUUAACUGUGGCCAAAACAGUUCGUGAGGGACUACAACAUUUGAUGAGACUAUCUGGUAUGGGAGCGAUGAAACCAAACACUGUAAUUCUUGGAUUUUUGGAUAAUGAAGAAUCUCAAGAUUUUUUGCGAAGUACUGACUCAAUUUAUCAAAAUCAUGACUUUGAAAACGACGUGUUCCCUCUCAAGACACAAAGUACGGUGCAACCUUUAGAAUAUGUCCAGAUGAUGCGAGAUGUGCUUAGGAUGAAUAAAAAUUUGUGCUUAUGUAGAAAUUUUGUUAGACUGAGAAAAGACGCAAGAAGUGUCAGAAACAAAAUGUAUAUCGACGUAUGGCCUGUCAACUUUUUAAAUCCAGGAGAAAACGACUCAUUUGACACUACGUCCCUGUUUAUGAUGCAACUGGCUUGUAUUGUCAACAUGGUACCAGUUUGGAAAAAAUUAAAACUAAGAAUAUGUAUUUGUGACGAAGCUCGGUCCAGCUAUUUUACAUCAUCCAUAUCACUAAGCCAUUCCGAACGACUGGAAACUCUCUUGAAAAAAUUGAGAAUCGAGGCAGAACUUUUCCGGGUAGAUGGUUGGAAGACAGUUCUUGAAUCGCACGGUACCGAAGAGGAACGAUACCCGAAGAGUGUCAAUACUUUAAUUCUUCAACAAACAGCAGAGACGGCUGUCACUUUCAUAUACCUUCCAGCACCGCCGACAGAUAAUACCAAACUGGUUUCUUUUUACAACAAUUUAGAAAUAUUUUCGAGAAAUCUGCCGCCCACCAUAUUCGUUCAUGGUGUCAGCACGGUGACGUCAACUACCUUAUAAUAGAGGGACAACAUUAGUAUUAGCAACGAAUGUAGACGCAUAUAGAAGGAUUCUUCACUGUCAUUUCUUAGUAAAGUAAGUCAGGAACAGUUGAGGAACUACCACUACGGAGUAUGCAUGUGAUCUCUCCUUCAUCACUGCGAACGCAGCAUCCCUAGCCUAGUGGUGAAGGGAAGAUUAGGUACGUGCGCACUUCGUAGUGGUGGUUCCCCAACUGUUCCCGACUUGAUUUACUAAAUAAUUACACUUUAAAAAAAAUUUCUACUACCACGUUUUUAUUAUUUCUAGUACAUAAUAUAAAAUUAUACACUACAGUGGAACCUCGAUAAGUCGGAUUAAUCGGGACCGCGGCCUAUCUGGGUUAUCAAAAAUCCGGGUUAGCCGGAGAAUAUGGUAAAAAUUAAUAAAAUUCAGUAUACUUAUAGAUAAACUCCAUUAUAAUUGCAAAAACAUGAAAUACAUAUAUGCACAGUACAUCUAAAUUAUGUACAGUUGUAUGCAGUAUUGUUCAUUUCUUGCUGAAAAACUGUCAAACUGAAAAAAUGUGUCUCUUGUCUGAUGAAAAUCAGUCUGGGUUAGCCUGACUUUCGGAAUUUUGUAAUCAAUUUUAAACUCAUAUAUCUAAAUAAAAGAAAAUGUUUAAAAUGGUAAAAAAUUAAUGAAACAUGUUUCGAUAGAAUAAUUGUGAUAUACCUUAAUAUACAGUCCGUCUAAUUUACUUAUCGUUGCACGUCAUUAUCUACGUUAGAGAUCUAAGUUGACAUUGUUGCCCAAUUACAAAAAAAUCUUGAAUUCAUUUUAAAACAAAUACAUUACAUAAUUUUUGCGGAAGUGGAUUAUACAGCAAAACAAAUUAAUAUUCAAUGUAAAUAAAUAAAAACUUGAGAAAUAGAAAACAAGAAUUAAAUUAUAAUCUUAGGUUAAAGUACAUAAUAAAAUAAGUAAAUAUAAUAAAACAAAUACUUAUAAUAAAGAAUAAAAACAAAUAUAUGAAGUGUCAUCACCGCAACUGUCAAAUAAAUGUUACCAAUUUAUGCCAAAAUAUCACCUUCGUUCGAUUACAGUUACAGUAUGUUCUGAACAAAUGUGUUUCAUAAAAACGCUUUAUAAUCCGUUUAUACAAAUUAAAUGAAACAUACUAUUGUGUAUUUCUUUAAGUUAACAGUAAUAGAAAUCUGUAAAUAUUAUUUCUACGCGUACAUAAUAAAAUAUGUCUAGUGGCUGUAAUUCCAGUGUACUCGGCAAAAUGAUUCUAAAAAAGAACACAUCUACCGCCUAAAUAUUUCGUGUUGGUAUCAUGUGACGUCACGGGCUAUGACGCGGAUGACGUGCAACGGUAAGUAAAUUAGUCGGAGUAUAGCUAAUAUUAUAUUAUUAACUUAAUAUGAAUUUUUAUUAUAAUAACUUUUAAUUAUUUAUUAAAAAAAUAAAAAAAAUAUGAAAAACCCGGGUUUGAACCUUGGACCUCUUUGCAGUCCAAUGCUCUACCACUGACCUAUAAUAUCCGCUAUGGACUAAUGUACUUUACAACGGGAUCUAAAUGGCAUUGCAUUAUUUGCAUUUAAAAUUGCUUUAAAUUCAAAAUAAAAGUCAAUGUAUCUAGAUUUACAGGUGUUGAAUAUUGCAUUAUCAUCGAGUUCUGAGCUAUUCUGAAAAUUUCAGAUGUCUAGCUAGUGGAGAAGUAUGUUUAAAAUCGAUCACAAGAUUUCCCAGACACCGUGACAAAAAGACUGACAUUUUAAAAAUGACAUUGAAGAAAUUGUUCUACAUGCGUCUAUAUUCGUUGGUAUUAUAUUAGAUUUAUUUGAUAUUUUAGGUAAUGACAAUUUACGAUCUUUUAUUAUUUGAGAUUUUUUAAAUAUCAGCGACUUUACGGAUAUCAACAACACUGUUUAGAAUAAAGUAAAAAAUGCUGAAGUGUCAAAUGAAUUAUAAGGAGCCAUCGAACAAAAAAUCGUAAUUAAGUGCGUGGCAUUUAUGUCAUUAUCAUUGUCAAUAUAAACGUUGCUUAUAAAAAGAUUGUCUACUCAGUUCGCUCAUCUCAGAUCUAACGUAAAUUCUCGUAAAUUUAGUAAUUCAUUCGUUCCUUUGUUUUCUGGUGUAGCACUAUGUAAUCUUAUAAAACCCUAAUACGACAAGUCACGCAGUCUGUCCGGUGCGGUUUCGAUAUGUUGACAUUAAAUGACGUUUAAUAAUCGUUAUUUUAUUUUGUUAUAUCUUUUUUAUAACAGCUCCAGAAUGACUGAAUCGAAUUAGCUAAUUUCGAUUUUAAACCAUUUGUAGAAGUAUAAGGAAAGUUUAAAAGGUGAGAAAAUGUGAUGAAGUUGUAAAGAAAAUACUAAAAACAACAAUUUUAUUGUCAUAUAUACACAAUUAUAUUAUACUCCUUUAGAUUUACGCAACAUAAAACUGCGGCUAACUUAGGAUAUAUUUACUUUUUCACGUUUCCCGCAAAAUCCAUGUUUUUGGCACUUUGUUUGAUCUUAAUAUGGUAUUUAGAAUUGUUUCAUUAAAUGUAUAAUUAUUACAAUGUAUUGCAUUAACGCACAAACUUGAAUUUUCAACUUUAUCGCAAAAAAAUGUUGAAAAAUAGUUUUUAUUAUUUUAAGUAAACAAUGUAUUAAAAUUAUUUUUAAUUAUAAACAUAUUUUCUGUAUAUUAAUUUUCGAUAUUUUCAAAAAUAGAGAUAUUCUUAAGCAACUAUCACAUUUUUUACAUACUUCCUAUACAACUAAUAAAAUUUGAUAUCUGAUGAGAUUGUAAAGAUUUUCUUCCUUAGACUUCUACAAAUAUUUCAAAAUCAAAAGUAGCCAAAUCGAUCCAGUCCUUCUCGAGUUGUAAAAUAAAAACAAUAUAAAAAUAAGAGUCAGAAGAAAAUGGACGGUAUCAGAAAAAAUUGAAGGAAUCAGAAAAAAGUAAUUUUAGAAACUAAACCUGAAUUGUUAUAACCGAAACUUAAAGGUUAACUAGACUAGAACGUUCCUUUGCUUAGUGACAGCCAUGAUUGUCGUUUGACACUAGCCAGUGUAGCCAACACCCAAAUACACUUGACAGUGCUACACUAAAAAAUAAAGGAACACAUUUUUUACUCGAUAAUUAAAUUGUAGCCAACAGGCAGUGACUGGAAAUUACUAUAUUGUCCUUCUCAUAGGCAUUUUUUGUUCAUUCAAAAGGUGGCAAAGGUAAGUCCGUGAUUUAUAACAUUUAUUCUAACAUGACAUUUUAGUUAAAUCUGACAGUUGUCAAAUUUUAUUUGCAAUUUGGCAUAAAAACAAAUCAAUUGUGUUAAUUGCAUUUAUAAAAUGGUAUUUUCUUUGAUUUGUAUAGUCUUAUAAAUUGUACAGAUUAUAUUCGUAGAUAUAUUAUAUAAUUCAUAAAUAAUUUUUUUUCGAUUAUAGCGCCAUCUAUCGACAACUGGAAUAAAUGUUAUAAAUGUCUGUAAUCACGUACGUGCCUUUUUUCUGUCACUUACAACUUAAUGCGUUAGAAAGAAAUCGAAAAACUGACACACUGAAAGAUACCCAUGAGAAAAAGCAUACAACCAAGCAUACAUGCUCAUAUCUCAUAUUUAAAUAAAAUAAUUUUCACAUACAGUUUAUUAACAAAAUAAAACUCCAUCAGUUAAAACAAAAAUUUAUUUUGAAAUUUUACUGUCUUUUAUGGAUUAAAAAUAACAAAUGGAAAGUUUUUAAUGAAAAUUAAUGAAUACACACCCCCAUUAUUAAUCAUUCUUCUUCAAUAUUAAGAGAUUGGAUUUUUUCUAUAUUGUGUGUUUUUGGCAAUGAAUCUGUCAAAAUAUUUCCAAGCUGAGCGAACGGACUAUAUUUAAUUUUUUAUUAAAAACUGGUAAACAAAUAAGUUCAAUUAUGUAUAUGUCAGUCUGUACCGCGUUUUUUAUUCCAUAUACCACUCUAAUUACGUCGUUUUGUGAUGGUUCUAUAGAUAUUAGAUAUACCUUAUUUACUUUGAAUAGAUUGUAGAGAUUAAGCUCGGGUCUCAUAUUAUGGAAGGAUUAUUCAUGACACAAAGAAUAGCCAGAUGCGAACAUUUAUGUCCCAAUUUAUCCAAAAUAUGUGUUAACGAGUUUUAAAUAGGAUAUUUUGUACAACAUUAUAGUUGUCAAUAUAUUCUAAAAAAAUAAAUACUUUUUUUUCUCUAUUUAGAUACGUGAAAUCAACAAGAUUUGUAAAGUUUUGUUGUUGAAUAUAUUGUUUGCAAGUAUUAAGGUACGUAUCCAUACAAGGGUGAUCCGCGCUUGGUGUACCAGCUCCACAUAGUGAAUACGUUGGUGAUCGCCGCUCGGCGCUCACCCUCUUCGAUUCAACCGGUUUGUGGUUUAUAUGUAGGGGAGCGCAUGCCGUAUCCAUUUAAGCAGCUACACCGAGCGCGGAUCACUCUUGUAUGGAUACGUACCUUUAUAUGUCUUCGUCUAUUGUUAUUAAAUAAGGUAUAUAUUGAAUGUCAUUAAAACGUGAUAAAAGUAUUAUGAGCCAAAAUGUUAAAAGAUUAAUUGGUUAAAUCUGACAUUUAAGUUUAAAAGUUUAUAGUUUAAGUUUUAAAAUAGUUGGUUAUAAUGUAGUAGCGACAUUGGCAAUUUAAAGUACAGUUGAGUCCGCGAGUCUUUACCCGUGCGUCAUUAAUACCUGGUGAGAUAAAACAUACUUUUUAUUUAGCAUCAUUCUCUUCCACGCAUGAAAUUAAUGACAAACCAGCUGCCGCCUGUUAAUUAAGUAAAAACACAUGUUAUUUUUAUGAACGAUUUAAACUCAGUGUAUUGAAAAGAGAUAGGUACAAAGAAAGAUGAUUGGGGAUGUCUUCACAUAUUUUAAGUACAAUUUCUGACGUUUUGGUUUGUUUACUUUUGUGGUUGUCAGUUUGUUGAAUUUUUUGCUGUUGUUUUGUCGAAUUUUUGCAUUUUGAAGUUUUUUAUAGUAUACAAACAGUUGUUUUCACAACUAAUUUUAUAUUGGAGUUAGAAAUUUUGUGAUAAGUUUAUGUUAUUUUAAGAUAAAUUUUGACGACGUACAAAGCUAACCUCAUUGUUCACACAGUUGAAUUCUUGUGUUUAAGGUUCCGCCAAAGUGAAUAAAAUAUAAAAAAAUAAAACAUGUUAUUUAUUUUUUUUAUAAAUUGUUUAUUUAUUUAUUAAUCAAUGAUAAUAAAAUAAUUUAUUAAGCUACUUCAAAUGUAGCUGUAAUUAUUCACCAAAAUUUUAAAGCAAAACUUAAAUUUGACAUUCUAUUUAUUUGAUAACGUCAAAUUUUAUAAUAACCCGUGAUCGGAAUAAUAUCCAUUUGCCGUUGCGUUUAGUAAAUUUCCGACUUAUUUCGUAUGCUUUAAAUGAUGACGCACGGGUAAAGAUUCGCGGACUCAACUGUAUUUGAUGACUAAAAAAACUGUACUUCAUAUAGAGCAUUCCAACAUGCUGUCAAAAUUAAAUCAAUAUGGCGACUGGGAGGCAAACAUAAGUGUUAUUAUAUCAAUUCUUAAUGUAUUUUAGAUCAUUUUAGUUGCGUUUCGUUGUAAUUUUGUUUUGUACAAGGAUUAAUUCAACAUUUUCACUCGAAGAAUUAAUUUAAAAAGAUAAUAUGCAUCAUUUUUGUUGUGUUUUGAAGUAUGGAAUGCGAAGUAAUCAUGAUAAUGUUCAUUUCGGUUACCAUCAGUGCUACAUUUUAAGCAUAAAACAACUAAAUAAGUCAUCAUCUGAGAGACAAAAACAAUGGUUAAAUAUGCUAUAAAACGUCCUAUGAAAAUGGUAAAUAACUAACUAUGUCCAUGUUACUUACGCUUGGAAAACCGUAUCCACCGUAGGUUAACUCAGAUCCUUGAGGGAAAAUGGAGCUAUAUUAUUUAUUUUGCUUGUACCUACUAGCAACAUCUGUAUUGUCUGCCAACAAUAUUCGAAAAUAUUCACUCCUGUUUAUUUAUUCACCGCUUAAAACUAAAUAAAGUCGUUCAAGUACUUCUGCAACUAAAAACUACACAAAAUCAACAACAAAAUGUUCAGAAAAUACAACUAAAAAACUGUGUAAAAAACGGUAAAAAACUUAAGAAACAAUGUUUGACAGUUUGACUCCCAGCGGUUUCAUAAAUGUCAAAGUCUUGGAGUGUCCUAUUAGAGUAACUUUAAUGGGUAAUGUCAUUUACCAUUAUCAUCGCAUUCAAAUAAUGCUCCUAACCGUAAGAAUGAAUGCAAAAUUUAAAAUAGCAUGUGAUUAAUUCCACGGCAAGUGUGGUAAAUUAGGAAUCCGACCCAAUUAGUUUUCUCAUAUUUUUCACAUUCACUAUUAUUCCAUAGGAUUAAAAUUUGUUGAAUUUGUUUUUAAAACAACUUUGCUUUGAAGUGUGUUAGAAAAAUUCUGAGAAGUAUAUUCUAUGAAACUCUCCCGACAAACGAGGACCGCAGAUUCUUCAGAUAAUUUUAAGACAAUUCAACCCAAUUCACCUAGUCCGAAAAUGCUUCCUAAGGGAGCUAGAGCUCUUUGAAGAUGGCGUCUUGGAAUUAGUUUUUCUUAAAUCUCUCCAGAACGCUUUUAUUUAGAAAAACGAAAAGAUAAAUAGGUACGCCUAUUUAUCUUCUAGAGAUAAAUCGAUUACAUCACUUCCGAGUUUCUAGUACCGGUCAUAGGCGCCUGUUUUGGGUAGGGCAACGGUUAUUUUAUCGUAUAACUUUUUUGUCUUUAACUUUUAAGCAUUUUUGAAACCGGAUUAUUAAAUUGUGAGGUUUCUAGUACCAAAAGGUACUCUUGCUUUAAGUCGGUAGGAUGCACCGUUUUCUAGAAAAAUCCAUUUGAAAAUUUUUCGUUUGCUGAAUUUGAAAAAAAAAUUUCAAAAAAAAGCUAUUCAGAAAAACAAAAACUAGUAUGUUUAUGUAUCUUUCAGAGAUAAAUCGAUUUCCUCAGUCGAGAAAUUCUAAUACCUGUCAUAUGCGUCCGUUUUGGGUAGGUCAACGGUUAUUUUAUCGCAUAGCUUUUUUGUCUGUAAUUUUUAAUCAUUUUUGACACUUGAUGAUUAAAAAAUGAAUUAUUCUAGUACUCAAAGUUACUCUUGCUUUAAGUCGGUAAAAUACACCUUGUUUUUUGAAAAAAAAUUUCAAAUUCAGUAAACGAAAAAUUUUCAAAUCGAUUUUUCUAUAAAACACUGCAUCCUACCGACUUAAAACAAGAGUACCUGUUGGUACUAGAAUACCUCAAAAUUUAAUAAUCCAGUGUCAAAAAUGCUUAGAAAUUAAAGACAAAAAAGUUAUACGAUAAAAUAACCGUUGCCCUACCCAAAACGGACGCCUAUGACCGGUACUAGAAACUCGUAAUUGAUGUAAUCGAUUUAUCUCUAGAAGAUAAAUAGGCGUACCAGUUUUCGUUUUUAUAAAUAGAAGCGUUCUGGAGAUAUUUAAGAAAAACUAAUUCCAAGACGCCAUCUUCAAAGAGCUCUAGCUCCCUUAGGAAGCAGUUUCGGACUAGGUGAAUUGGGUUAAAUUAUCUUAAAAUUAUCUGAAAAAUCUCCUGUAUUCGUUUGUCGGGAGAGUUUCUGGACACCCUGUAUAUGUAAAAUUUCCUUCUUAGCAGAAGGAUAUUUGUAGGAUACGUAGAGGUUUGAAUUUGUUCAAAAAUUUAGCUCAAAACUCCCUUUACAAGUGUUAUCAACGCGCAUUCAGAUGCUCCCAAAGACGAAAUUACACGGUUUUACUUUUGCCUUUCAAUAUGUGUUGAAUAAUUCACUUUCCAGAUACCGUGUAAAUAGCAUUGCUUUCAUUUCUGCUCCAUUCAACAAAAGUAAUUCAAUUCGGUUGAACCGUGUAAUUGCGCCUUAACCGUAAGAAUUAAUGCAAAAAGAAAAAUUUGUCUUCUUCUCGCUUUCCUUAUGACCUAUAAGACUGUCGAAUCUUGUUGGCAUCUAUGCAUCUUUUACUCAUUUCUUCUAAGCCUCCCGGUCUUCUGCUGUUUCCUUCAUCUGUUGCAUUGUUUUCCCUCUGUUGUUUCCGAUUUUCUGGAUUUGUUUCAUCUACCAUUUUCUAGAUCCUACCUCUUCUUCUUCAUUGUAUUUGGCCUCUGUCACUUUCUUAACUAGUCUGUUCUCACCCAUUUUAAUUAUGGUUCCAUACUAGUUCAGUUUUCGUUUAUUGGCCUGUCUAGCCUUGUCUUCCCAGCUAUCUUUCUCAGUUGCUUCAUUUCUGCUGCAUUUUUUGUACUUUCGUCUUUUUUUGUAACCAGUGUUUGCAUGAUUGCGUUAUACUUUUCUCAUUAAGAAUUGUCCACAUAGUAACUGGAGAAAUCUUAGCACAAAAUACGAAGAUUUAACCUAAUACAACUAACAAUAAAAUGUGGCUCCUUAGUGAGUUUCAGCGUAUUUUAUUUAAAAAUUUAAAUACUAUUUGUACCCAGUACUUUAAAACCAUUUGACAUAUCCUGAUCAUACUUGCAGCUAGUGGAUGUACUGUAUAUCCUACUAAAUUAUAUUAAACAAACGUUUCUGGCUACUACCAGAGGCGUACGACCAUUGCGAAUGGUUGACCCUUCCCAAAUUCUACGCCACUGACGGAAUUGCUAUUUUAGUGCAAUUUUUGGAUUCUCCAAUACUUCCUAUGUAAAUAACAUACUCUUCAUUCGUAACGAUAAAUUUAUUAGUUUUCGAGAUAUUUGAAGUUAAAAAUAAAAAGGCGCAGUUAUUGUGAUUAAUGUAUUAUGCCCCUUACCAAGUUUAAGUUAUAAAUUCCAAUAAACUCAGCAAAUACGCUAAUGUCACUGUCAUUGAAAAUGAUAAACGUCAAAAUUCAUAGUUAACAGGGUAUAGACCCAUUGUUACAGUUAAAAAUCCUUUAAAAAUUUUUCGAAGUUAAAAUUAUUGAUAUAAAGUACAUUAAUUCUUGUAUUAAGAGGAAACAGUAGCGAUCAACAGGUAGCGAAAACGCGUUCCAAGAUUGCGGCUGUAAUUUUGAAUAUUUUUUCGAGAUAUUUGGCACACGUAUUCGUAAUAUAAUAAAGAAUGGCGGUACAGUGCCAAAUAUCGCGAAAAAACAUUCGAAAUUACAGCCGCAAUCUUGGAACGCGUUUUGCUACCUGUUGAUCGCUGCUGCAUCACCUUAAAUAAACAAGUUUAAGUAAUUUUAUUUGCAGUUUAUAUACGACUAAUAUCAAAAGUGGCAUGCACCACUUGAACCUAACUUCAGCCCGUGAGUAAUGCAUUAUUACUCACGGGUAAAGUAAUGGGUGUUAUUAUCUAUUCAAAAAUAGUGAAUAAUGAACAUGUUAUUAAACGGUCGUAAAGAAAUGUAUUCUUGUAACGCAUUUAAAGUACAGUUGUGCUAAAACUCAAUUUCACACUAUUUGAAUCUCCGAUUUUGAUGAAAUGAUUUAAUUUAUUUUGUUUGUGAUCAAGUUUAAGUGCAUACAUUUUCGGGUUCCUCAAUUUGUUCACUUAGGCAGGAAAUAUACUUGUUUCUAAAUGAAUAAAAGGGUUAUAUACAUGACCUAUUUAUAAGUAGUACGUAGGCAAUUAUUUUAAUGUAAAGCGUAACAUAUCAUUAAUAUAUAUUCGCCAUGUGUGUCACGUCAUACCCAUAGAGAUAAAUAUGAAUAGACAGCAUGUCUUGGUAUUUAUAUGGCCGGUUACACUGAUUUUUCUGAUGACUGACUCAAGAACUAGGUUGAAUAGCAUGGUUGAUAGAGCCUCUCCCUAUCUGACCCCCAUGUUGAUGUCAAACAGGGGGUCAGUUCUCCAUCUACUCUGACUGCUGCUUUUGAACCCUGCACCGUAAUUUUUAUGAGGCGGAUAUAUUUAUUAGGUAUACCUAGAUUAUGAAGGUCGUCCAGCAUUUUGUCUCUUUUCAAACUGUCAAAAGCUUGUUUAAAGUCUAUAUACAUAUUAUCUAGUUCUAUGUCGUAUUCAUAUGCUUUUUCUUGUAUCGCUCUUAGUAUGAAUAUAUUAUCUGUAGUGGCUCUAUUUGGUCUGAAUCCAUUUUGAUAAUCACCAAUUAUAUUUUCGGAGUAUUCUGACAAUCGAUUGUAAAAAUUAUACCAGAAAGAAUUUUGUAUAUUACAUUUAGCAAUGAAUUCUGGCAUUCUCUUAUCUCCUUUUUUUAUACAGGGUGUCCAGAAACUCUCCCGACAAACGAAGACCGGAGAUUCUUCAGAUAAUUUUAAGACAAUUUAACCCAAUUCACCUAGUCCGAAAAUGCUUCUUGAGGAAGCUAGAGCUCUUUGAAGAGUUUGGAAUUUGGAAUUAGUUUUUCUUAAGUAUCUCCAGAACACUGUUAUUUAGAAAAACGAAAACUGGUACGCUUAUUGAUGUUCUAGAGAUACAUCUAUUACAUUAAUUACGAAUUUCUAGUACAGGUCAUAGGCGCCCCUUUUGGGUAGGGCAACUGGUAUUUUAUCGCAUAACUUUUUUGUCUUUAACGUCUAAGCAUUUUUGACACUGGAUUAUUAAAUUGUGAGGUAUUCUAGUACCAAAAGGUACUCUUACUUUAAGGCGGUAGGAUGCACCGUUUUCUAGAAAAAUCGAUUUGGAAAUUUUUCGUUUAUUGAAUUUGAAAAAAAAAAAAUUUCAAAAAAAGACAGUGUAUUUUACCGUCUUAAAGCAAGAGUAGCUUUUAGUACAAGAAUACCUCAUAAUUUUAUCAUCAAGUGUCAAAGAAGGUUAAAAAUUAAAGAUAAAAAAGUUAUGCGAUAAAAUAACCGUUGACCUACCCAAAACGGACGCAUAUGACCGGUACUAGAAUUUCGCACUAAUGAAAUCGAUUUAUCUCUGGAUGAUAAAUAAACGUACCCGUUUUCGUUUUUCUAAAUAGUUUUUUUUUUAAUUUUUUUUUCUAGUUCAACAAACGAAAAAUUUUCAAGUCGAAAUUUCUAGAAAACGGUGCAUCCUACCGACUUAAAUCAAGAGUACCUUUUAGUACUACAAUACCUUACAAUUUAAUAAUCCAAUAUAAAAAAUGCUUGGAAGUUAAAGGUAAAAAAGUUAUACGAUAAAAUAACCGUUGCCCUUCCCAGAACGGGCGCCUAUGACCUGUACUAGAAAUCCGUAAUUAAUGUAAUUGAUUUAUCUCUGGUAAGAUAAAUAAGUGUACCAGUUUUUGUUUUUCUAAAUAGAUGCGUUCCGGAGAUAUUUAAGAAAAACUAAUUCCAAGACGCCAUCUUCAAAGAGAUCUAUCUCCCUUAAGAAGCAUUUUCGGACUAGGUGAAUUGGGUUAAAAUGUCUUAAAAUUAUCUGAGGAAUCUUCUGUCUUCGUUUUUCGGUAGAGUUUCUCGACACCCUGUAUAUUGGCUGUAUAAGGUCAACUGUCCAUUCCUCCGGCAUUUGCUCCUUGGUCCAUAUUAAUGUUAUUACACUUGAGUCCACGAGUCUUUACCCUUGCGUCAUUAAUACCUGGCGAGAUAAAACACAUACUUUUUAUUCUAAGAGCAUCAUUCUCUUCCACGCAUGAAAACACAUGUUAUUUUUAUGAACGAUCUAGACUAAAAAAAAGACUAUUGGGGAUGUUUUCACAUAUUUUAAGUACAAUUUCUGACGUUUUGGUUUGUUUACUUUGUAACUGUCGGUUUGUUGAAUUUUCUGCUGUUAUUUUGUCGAAUUUUUGCAUUUUGAAGUUUUUUAUAGUAUACAGUUCUUUUCACAACUAAUUUUAUAAGUUUAUGUUAUUUUACGAUUAAUUUUGACCACGUACAAACUUACCUCAUUGACGCAGUUAAGGAAUGCUUGUGUUUAAUGUUCCUCCAAAGUGAAUAAAAUAACAAAAAGAAAAUAUGUUAUUUAUUUUUUUUAUAAAUUGUUUAUUUAUUUAUUAAUCAAUGAUAAUAAAAGUAUUUAUUAAGCUACUUCAAAUGUAGCUGUAAUUAUGCACCAAAAUUUCAAAGCAAAACUUAAAUUUGACAUUCUAUUUAUUUGAUAACGUCAAAUUUUAUACUAUAACCCGUGAUCGGAGUAAUACCCACUUUCUGUCACUUGCUGUUGAGUUUAGUAAAUUUCUGACUUAUUUCUUAUCCUUAAAAACGGGUAAAGACUCGUGGACUCGUAGGUAAUGAAUUCUUCCCCAGAGUUCAGAUCCUCCAUGUUUUAGUAAUUCUGCUGAAAUUCUGUCCGCUCCUGGCAUUUUAUUGUUUUUUACUUUCUUUAUUAUUUGAACUACUUCAUAAUUCACAUUUUCAAUGUACUGUUCCGCCGUAUAAUACCGGGUGUCCACUUAUAUUUUCCCCCAUUUUAACUGCCUAUAACUUCUAAACGGCUUAAGAUAGAAAUAUGCGGUUUUCGAUGAAAUGUUUUAUUUUAGUAAAAGUUUUGUCUGAAUGGAUUGAAUUUUUUAUAUCGCUUUCAAAUACGAAAAGAAAAAUGGCGGAUUUUUGAAAAAAAGUUGUUGACUUUUUUUUAAUGGAAUACCCAGUAUAUUUUUUGUAAAUUGAAAGAAAGGUCAUUCACCUAUCCAGCGAUAUAAAGUUUUUCAAAAUCGGUUGUCAAAUCACUGAGUAAUUAAUUUUUAAAAUGAGCGGUGCAACAUAGCCAUAUCACAUAUCUAAAUAACAUAACUAAGCAAAAAAUGGUAUUAUGUUAUGUGAUUUGUAUUUGAAAGCGAUAUAAAAAAUUCAGUCCAUUCAGACAAAACUUUUACUAAAAUAAAACAUUUCAGCGAAAACCGCAUAUUUCUAUCUUGAGUCGUUUAGAAGUUAUAGGCAGUUAAAAUGGGGGAAAAUAUAAGUGGACACCCGGUAUAUUGUCUCGGUUUGAUCAUUUUCGUUUUCUGCAUUUAGGUUUUCUUCGACGUAUUCUUUCCAUCUCGUUAUAAUUGUUUGCUUCUCUGUUAGCUCCUUGUCGCUAAGUCUGCUGCGAUGUUCCUUGCUAACACUUAAGGGGAAAGGCGCAAACUGUCGCCUGUCAAAAUUUUCAAUGUGUAAUUACAAAAUGUAUUCAUUUUUUCGAAUCCUGAGAAAUCUAUUAUACGUAUUUUUGAAAAAUUUAAAACGCAGAAUGAAAGAUUACGUUAUUACCGAGGGCCGAAAAUCCCUUACAAUAAAUAAAAAGUUUCUUUUGAAUGAAGUAUUUGUAAUUAUAGGCAAAUUAAUGGUACCUGCUAAUGUUAAUGCGGUAUUUUCAGGAAUAUUAAUAUUUUUCAUAUUGCAUCAUUUGUAAACCUUGUAAAUCAUGUUUCAUCUCCUGCAUGUUUUCCAUCUUUGUUCAUAGCAUAGCUUUCAUUUUUCUUGUAUUCUCUUAGACACGUUCACAUACAGUUAUUCCAAUGGAUCUUUGCACAAACGUAAUGAUUUGCAAACAAGUUAAAUCAAAACAUUAGGUGCAACGUACGUCGGCAUGUACUGUCAAUGCAAUAAUUAGGAAAUGGGUAUUAUGGCGGUGGAGGUAUUUUUUAAAGUUAUUUUAUUAAAGUGUUUGAUCUUUUUUCACUAUUGAAGAGAUUGAUGGACUCAACAUUAAAUAGCUUGAUCAUUAUUCGCGGUGUGCAAGUACUUGGAAGAGAUACGCGAAAAUAUCGUGCGCGAAUAGCGGAGAAAAAUUGCAACUUUCUUAAAUAAUUCAUAUUGUCAAUUGAAAUUGUCAAAUUGACGUACAUUUCAUACCUAUUGUCAUUUAAGAAGAAAAAUGAUAUAUUGCUCCACAAUAUUGAUAUGAUAUGCAAUUAUUAUAUAAAGGUAAAUUUAAUUAAUUGUAUUUUGCUUGCAGUACUGCAUUUUAAUAACUAAUUUUAUUUACUACAUACAAUUAUUUACGUUUUAAUAACAUAACCUAAAUCUUAUUUUUUCUUCUUAUUAUUUUUUUUGGACUAUGGCCUUGACAAUUUUCCAGUAACCAGGACCAUAUGAUUGGCCAAUAUAAUUAAAAGUGCGAAUAAAAGUGCAGAGCGUAGAAACCAGAUGUCGCUUUUCCGAACUUGCACGGUCCCAAUACCGACUAUUACUAAUGUAAAAAUAAAUAUAAAACGGUAAUAAAUACAAAACAAAAACAAAAAGUCAAAAAAUAAUCUUGAAAAUAAACCAAUGUUUCUGUUCGACAGAACUAUAGCCAGACUCAUGUAUGUAGUAGUAGUAUAAUGACAAUUUAUUUGUAGGUUAGAAAAUAAUAUAAUUAAUUACUGUUAUAAUAAUUAAUUAUUAUAAUAUUUUCUUUAUUUUCGUUACUUGAACUUAAAAAUAAGUAAUUACCGGAAGUAAUCAAAUAAGAUAGCAACAGUUAGUUAUUCCAAAUACUACAGACUGCAAUACAUACAACUCUUGACAUUUCCCAUUAAUUUUGAGGGAGCAAAAAAAUAGCGCCAUCUAGCGGUAUGAGUAGGAUAACCAGAGCAAUCUAACCUUACAUUUAUAAAAUUGCUUUAUUAUUGUUUUUGUAUAAGUGUUUGAACUAUUUUUAUUUUAAUUUAAUUUAGCAAAAUUAGCUCGUUAUUCAAAAAUUUAUAAAAUUAAAUUUGAUUUUUUACGUCAAAUUUUACGUUGUCAAAACGUAGUUCAACUCAAGCCGACAGUGGCGAUAGUGGCAACAUGCUUUCAGAUUUCUGUGGGAAUUGGAUCAAGUACUAUUGACUGUAAUACAUACAACUCUGUACAUUUCCCAUUACAUUUGAGGAAGCAAACAAUAUAGCGCCAUCUAGUGGUGUGCGGUGAUAACCAGAGCAAUCUAACCUUACAUUUAUAAAGUUGCUUUAUUAUUGUUUUUGUAUAAGUGUUUGAACUAUUUGUAUUUAAUUUAGCAAAAUUAGCUCGUUAUUCAGAAAUUUAUAAAAUUAAAUUUGAAUGUUUACGUCAAAUUUUACAUUUUCCACUGUCGGCUUGCGGUGAAACUACGUUGUGACACCGUAAAAUUUGACGUAAACAUUCAAAUUUAAUUUUAUAAAUUUUUUAAUAACGGGCUAAUUUUGCAAAAUUAAAUUAAAAUAAAAAUAGUUCAAACACUUAUACAAAAACAAUAAUAAAGCAAUUUUAUAAAUGUAAGGUUAGAUUGCUCUGGUUAUCACCGCGGACCACUAGAUGGCGCUAUUUCUUUGCUUCCUCAAAUGCAAUGGGAAAUGUCAAGAGUGUAUGUAUUACAGUCAAUAGUAUUUGGUUGGAUGUAUUACAGUAAAUAGUAUUUGGUUAUUCUAACAAUUAUGUUUGAAAAUAAAAAUUACAAUGAAAUGUACAAAUACUAACAGUUUAAAAAAAUAAUAUGAACAACCAAAAUACAACAAAUACGUCAAUGUCACUGAAAAUGAUAAACGUCAAAAUUCUUAGUAAAUAAUGUAUUAAAGACGUAUGUAAUGUAUCGCUAUCCUUGUUUAAUUUAUUGUGGUUUCUAUGGACAAGCGGCUUAAUUUUGCGAUACUAGUUUCUGUGAGUAAAAAAGAGACCUAGUAUAAAAAGUAAUUCAGUGAACAAUUUCAUGCAUGUGCAUUCAGAAUCAUUGGAACAACUGUACGUAUAAAUGGUUUUAGUCAAAACUUAAUAUUUUCUAUAAAUAAGUCUUUAGCUACCUAAUUAAAGUUAAUGUUAGUUAUGAACUGAUAUAGCUGAAUUAAGAAUAUAUAAAUGAAGAAACUUAUGUAAUAUUUUUGACACUAGAUAUAUAGAUUAUAGAUUAUUUUUAUCGAUUGGUGUGAUAUAAAAUUCAAAUAUUGUUAUUUAAAAACUAUUCUGCUAGUUAAGCGAUUGUCGAUAAGCAAUUGUUAAUACAGGGUAAAUCUUAAAAUUAAAAGUCCCAUAGUGAAAUGAUAAAUGUUUGUAUUUUAGCUGUUUCACCGUAAUUUCAACGGAGCGUGUUGAGGCGCGCUUCACCAGUAUACUAAUUUAAACGUCCUCAAAAAGAAAUGGCCAAUAUACAGUGUGUCGCAUUUAAGAUGAAGACGCCUAUAUUUCGACUAGCAAAAUAAAUACAGAUAUGAAAUUUUGCACAGUUAUACAGGUUGAUGGUUUACAUUUUUAAGAUAGUUAACUAAAAUUUAAAUUUUAAACGCGGCCUACUGCGAAUUCACACAUUGGUUGAAUUUUCGAUAUUUUUCUUCGCAUUGGAGAUAUCUGAAAAAGUUAUUUGGAAAAGAUAAAGGCAGUUUUUGUUUUUAUUUGAUUCAGAGUUGGACCACCAUCUCCAUAUAGCCUAUUUCAGCAUCCCAUGCAUCCUCAGUGAAGCUAUGUGAUCACAAAUCUGAAAGAAAUAUCAACAAUCCUGCCUGUUAAAGGGAAACCAUCGCGAUGCAAUGAUUACACCUUUUGAGACGCAAUCCAGUGACAUCUCCCGCAAUGCGAGGAAAACAACGAAAAGCCCUAGAUACACACUUUACUACUUUUUAAACAAUUAGAAUAAUUGAAAUAAAAAUAUAAUAAACAAUAUUUUAAAUCUAAGACUUUUCGUUAAUAAACUGCUUUCUGGCUGCAUCCUGUACCUCCGGCUUUUACAAUAUAUAAGCACAAGAGACGACGAAAUUAGGAGAAAGCAAAUAGAGGACACUUUGGCCACGCAUUUGCCUUCUCUUCGUCAAGGAAAAAGGACCGAUAGACAGUUUCUAUAUACUGAAAUCUGAGUAAAGAUGAAAAAGAUAAAGGCAGUUUUUGUUUUUAUGUGAUUCAGAGUUGGACCGCCAUCUCCAUAUAGCCUAUUUCAGCAUCCCAUGCAUCCUCAGUGAAGCUAUGUGGUCACAACUCUGAAAGCAAUAUCAACAAUCCUGCCUAUUUAAGGGAAACCAUGGCGAUGCAAUGAUUACACCUUUUGAGACGCAAUCCAGCGUCAUCUCUCGCAAUGCGAGGAAAACAACGAAAAGCCCUAGAUACAAAGUUUACUACUUUUUAAACAAUUAGAAUAAUUGAAAUAAAAAUAUAAUAAACAAUAUUUUAAAUCUAAGACUUUUCGUUAAUAAACUGCUUUCUGGCUGCAUCCUGUAUCUCCGGCUUUUACAAUAUAUAAGCACAAGAGACGACGAAAUUAGGAGAAAGCAAAUAGAGUUAAAGUUCCAAAUAUCAUUAUAUCUCCACAUACCGAAUUUCAUGACAAAAUUCGCACUUUUAGUUUUUUUCGGUAUUUGUAGUCAGGAUCCUAAGGCGGAGUUGGAAGCAAUCAUUCAAUACAUGACUGCGGUCGCCGCGAGCGAUUCAUCAAUUCUGAAUCGCUCCGUGGCAGGCUUUGACUCAAUUCGUCUCGGCCUGGUCGGUUUUCGCUAAGUCAGCACUUUAGCUUAAAUCAGUGAGUCUAUUGGAUCAAUACUCCUUAGACUCCGCUUGGCUCCAACUCAAUUCGUUGAAGCCCGGUUAGCCACUAAGCAAUUUCUAGUGGUCAGUGAAUUCCUGCCAGAUCAAUUCCCCAGCUGGAACUUACUAAUUUUCUGUUACUUCGACCUCUAUCUAUCUAUCUAUUGCCCUUCAUUUGUUUAAAGUUGAACGUAGGCGCCUCCCCCUUAUUUUUCCACUCUUCUCGGUUCAGUGCUAAUCCUGUCCAUUUGGUCCCUGCGUAUCUUUUUAGAUCAUCCGACGAUAUCAUCUGUGGUCUGCCAUUUCCUCUUUUAUGGUCCCAAGGUCUCCAGUGGGUUAUCGCUUUAUUCCAUCUUCCGUCUCUUUGUCUGCUGUUGUGUCCUACAAAUUUCUAUUCGAGAGAGGCUGCAUGUUUACUUACGUCUUUCACUUUGGUUUUAUUUUAUUUCUGAUCCAUGUAUUUUUUUAUCACUUAUCUUCAUAUCUAGUAUCUGCCUUUCCAUUGCUCUUUGAGUCUUGGCCAUAUUUUCCAUAUUUUCCUUUGUGAAGGUCCAUGUCUGUGCUCCAUAUGUAAGCACUGGUAAACUGAAAGUCAAACAAUUGGGAAUGCACGUCAUAGAUUUAAUGACAUCUUAACCCACCAGUACAAACUUGACGAAAACAAAUUCAACAAAUUUUCCUCAUAUAUUAGUUUUUUGGCUACCAUUAGGUUUAGCAGGACAUUGCUGUUACCGAAUAACAAACAUAUAUAGUCCGUCCGCUAUAACUUUUCCCAUGCGGUAUGAUUCAUUUUCAAUCAAAUUAAGUCAAAACAUAAAUUGAAACGAACGUCGAUGUGUAUAUACAUUUUGUAUACUGUAUACUAUAUACUACACACAUCGGCGUACGUUUCACUUUCUGUUUUGACUUAAUUUGAUUGAAAAUUAAUCGUACCGCAUGGGAAAAGUUAUAGCGGACGGACUAUAUGUAUGUGUAUUUACCAAAACAGCUACCGGCUACACUGUUUCUCUCUUUCUUUAAGAGUGUGAAACAAGAUAACUAUCUGUAAUAUAAGUGUCAAAGUCAUGUUGUAAUAUGGAAGGUUAUGUAAAAUUUUUGUUUGUUUAUUUUUUUUCUUUUCUUUUAUGACCUUUGGGAGCUGUGUCCAUUUAGCCAGCAACAUUUCUUAGAAUGAACGCCUAACUAAACCUACCAUACAACAAAACUAUUACGACCAAUCAAGAAUAGGGAAGGGAAAGGGUUAAAAAAUAAACUGUCGUUAAAAUAAACUAAAUAAAUAAAAUACAAUUUAAAAACAAUAAUUUGACAUUUUAUUUAACCUCCAAUAUUAUGAUAGACGUCAGUUACCAUUUACAGUACAUAUCUCUAAAUAUAAUAAUGACGUCAUAUAAACUCGUCACUAAUUCUACCCAAUGAAAUUCUCGCUGUAAUAGGAAUGGUAUGUCAGGCAUGUCAAAAAAAUCUGAUUAUUCUCUAUAAUAUAUAUUUUUUAAUUUAGAAAUGGUAACAAGGAGAAAAUUACGUGCAUCCCUUAUUGUUUGACUUUUCCCAUAGGACACAUUGAUCAUAUACCUUGGUGCGGAGGUAUUGGGCAUAUUUCUGGUUUUUCAGGAUAUAGCUCAUUUUUCAAAAACCACAAAAGCAAUAUAUAGCGGUAUUCUGUACUCAUUAACGCGUUCAAUGAGUAUUUUCAUUAUUGCAAGUAGUCUGUUGUGCUGUAUCCCAUUGUGCUGUACUUCCUAUCUCCUAGGUAUUCUGCUGUAUUCAUCGGUAGUGGUGGGAACUCUGGUGGAACGGCAUGUGUUCCACCAAACUUUUCAGAUGUACUAUUGGAUUUUUUCUUUCAAAUAACUAAGCUUUAUUUUUAAACCAAGAGGAGUAAACUAAAAAUACAGGUCCACACCUAAGAAAGUCGCUAGAAAUAUCAUCAAAUACAUCUUCUUUUUUGGUUGAUAAUAUCGGCCCUUGACGGUAAUCCAUAAAUAUAAUAUUAUACUAAUACGUCGCUAGUUAUAAAAACAGACUAAAAAUUUAAAAAUUAAAGGAAUAACACAGAAAUUAAAAAAAGUCGCUGAUAUAACUUAAUUAACCUACGAAAUGCCAAUAGUGUCAAAAUUUGAUAACAGUGGAGUAAACUUGCCUGAGGUUGGACCAAUUACAAACAAGCUUUGCGGCUUGGGAAAUUUGAAUUACUCCUCUUGGUUUAAAAACAGACUAUAGUACAGUUUAGGUGUAGAGUAUAGUAAAAUUUAGAAGUUACACCUCCUAAAAACUGUAUUCCACAGUUCCAUCAAUCUUAUUUCUGAUAAAACCCAUUUUAUUGCGGACUAUGCAUGUAUUCUGUUUUUUUUUUUUCGAUUGCACACUCAUUGAAUAAAAAUUACACAUCCUAUAUUAUAAUAUACAGUGCGCUGGAAUAAGUUUCACUCAUCCCUAUUAACUUAUUUAUUUUUAGCACGUAAGCAAAACGCUCGGACAGGUCGAUUUUUAAAAUAAUCAUAGUAUAUUAUAGAACAGCGGUUCUCAAUCUGUGGUACAUGUACCACUGGUGGUACAUAUCACUAUUUGAGGUGGUACACAAAACACACAAUAAAUUAAAAUAGUAGUACUUAGUAAGUUUUGGUAAUACAAUCUAAACAUAUAGGUGGUACCAAAAAUAAUAAAAGAACUGUAGGUGGUACAUGACUCAAAAAGUUUGAGAACCGCUGUUAUAGAAUCAAUGUUUCGAACUUUACGCGAUUCCUCUUCAAGUGACAGGAAUAACUUUGAUUUUUUAAAUGGGUCAGUACAUCAUGUGACACCUCAUUUAAAAGCUUUUGAAAUACGGAUUACAAAAAUGUAUAAUACUUUAAUCCUUUUUGAGAGCGUAGGCGCAAUAUUUCGGUUGAAUUAUUUUUAAAUGCAUUCAUUUUUUUCGAGUCCUGAGAAGAAUAAUAAGUAUUUUUGAAAUAUUUAAUCGCAGAAUGAAAGAUUACAUUAUUACCGAGGGCUGAAAGUGCCUUAGAAUAAACAAGUUUCUUUUGAAUAAUAUAUUUGAAAUUAAAAAUGACACUCAAUUUUCUCUUUUUGAGAAACCAAGUUAAUAGAGGGGGGGAACACUUAUUCCAGUGCACUUUGUAUGUUACAGUUUAAGUUGACUAUCUAGUUGAAGUUGACUAUUCGUAGUUCCAGUCUACUCAAACAACUGGUUUUAGUAAAAGUUUAUUUUAAAUGUAAAAUAAAGAUUUUAUUCAACAUUUCCUAGUAAAAGUAGACGCCAACUUAAAACAGUAUACUCUUCCUAAUGCCAUUUAGUACGAGUUGAUUCUUUCACAACAUAAACACAAACAACCGAUUCUAGAAAUUAAAUGUUACUGGGUAUGUUAAAAUCAUGACAAGUAGUUGAAGCAGUCAAAACAAAGAGAUGCGCACUUAUCAAAAAAACACGUGAGAUUCUACAUUUACUGAAUCCACCCAGAAAUAGUCAACUCAAAUUAUGUAGUAAGAGUUUAUUCUCUUUUUCCCGCGAUCUACUUUCACUAACAAGAAUUAGGAAGAGUCUACUGCAUUUAGUAAAAGUUGAGUUAGAUUUUUCAAAUCAACUCUUACUGCUCGUUUUAGUUUGAGUUGACUCGAACUAGGAAUAGUCAACUCUAACUGAGAAUCAACUUGAACUGUAACAUAUACAGGGUGAGUGGGGAGGAACGCACCAAACUUUAAGACUGUAUAAUAUACUUAGUAAUAAUUAAAAAUAACUGAUAUGUGUUAAAAUUUUUCUUACAAACUGACGAUUUAUUUAUUGCUCUAAAACCGGUUGAGAUAUGAAAAUGAAAUUUGGUAGGUUUUAAGAGAUAGUUAUUGUGCAUUUUUUGACAUACGAUUAAUAAUUCUAUAUUCACCAUUGGCGCACGUACAGGUAAUGGUCUGAAAUUAUUUACAGAAAACAAAUAGUAUGCCACUGAGAUAUUUCAAAUUAAUAGUUAUUUAUGUAUUAAGGGCGUAAAGUAGGCGUUUAUGGACCGCGACGUGUAAGUAAGAGCCCGAGCCAAUAGGCGAGGGCUAUUAACACGUAAGGUCCAUAAACGCUGUUUACGCCCGAAAUACAUACAAAUUUUUAUGCACGACUGUUUUAAUUAUUUAUUAAUAAAGAUAAAAAAUUCCUUGUACGCUCGUCUUAGUGACUAUUUUUAAUGCUUCUUUUUCUUUCCACCUUUUGCGAGCAAUUUAUUAUAAAUACCAUGUCAAAAGUUGCAUGAAUUGUAUAGCUCAAUUUAUUAAAACUCAUCCUGUAUAACAAUUCACCGAAUCAUUUGUAUUGGUUAGUUAAUAAAAAAUGUCAUAUUGAAAGAAAUAUGUGUAAGAAAUAAUAAUAUGAUAGAACAGUAAUCUCUAUAGCUAGGUUCGCCUUACCCUAGCAACAAAGUAAAUAAGUCAAGAAUAGUAAGUCGCCAUUAUUUAUCGUAUUGAAAAUUUUAUAACACAUUUUUUAAGAAGUUCUUUUAUAACGGAAACUAGUGACGAUGAAACAUUUUUUGAAAUUUUUAAAGCAGCAGAAAAUGCAAAGUUAAGUUUACUACCCGCUAAAUCUAAGAAAAUAUACGAUAAGGUCUACGAUGAAUUUGUUAGUUGGUGCAAAUUGCAGAAUAUUAAAACGGUAAUUAUACAGAAAAUGUAUUUCUUGCGUAUUUUAUAUUUUACGCAGUAAAUAAAAACUUUGUGUUUCACUAACCACACCCGCCAUCUAACAUUACCGUCCGGCGGGCGAUAAAGAAGCCCACGGGCGCUAAAGUGGCACUUUACGCCCGCCAAAUGUAUACAUAAUAUGGACUUUACCGCCCGGUCGUGGAUAAAAAUUAUUUUUGAAUUCUCUGUUCAAUUUCUGACAAACAAUCAGUCUUCCCGUUUGUUCAUAUGACGCUUCGUUUUCAUGCAAAAAAUAAAAUAUCUUAACGCUUACAAAGUAUUCGAAUAAUUCGUAUAGAAACAUCGUCGAAAACUUAAGCGUUAAGAUGUUUUAUUUUUUGCAUGAAAACGAAGCGUCUCACGAAAAAAAGGGAAGGCAGAUUUUUUGUCACAAAUUGAACAAGGAAUUCAAGAACGAUUUUUAAUUUGAAAUAUAUCAGUGGCAUACCAUUUUUAUCUUUAAAAAAUUUCAGACUAUUAACCGUACGCGCGCCAAUGGUGAAUAUGAAAUUCUUAAUUGUAUGUCAAAAAAUGCGCAAUAACUACGUCCUGAAACCCACCAAAUUUCAUUUGCACAGCUCAAGCGGUUUUAGAGCAAUAAAUAAAUCGUCAUUUUAUAAGAAAAAUUUUAACACCCCGUAUCUCGGAAACAAAUAAAAAUCGAAUAACAACAUAUUAUGAGUUAUUUUUAAUUAUUAUUACGUAUUUUACAGUCGUAAAGUUUGACGCGUUCCUCCCCACUCACCCUGUAUAUAUUGAGUAUUAUUAUAUUCCAGUACGAUAUUUAUUAAAACAUUAUACUAAGGUUAAUAUGUUUUCUAUGAUACGUUUUGGUGAAAUAUGAAAUAUUUAAUAAUUUUUAGCGUUUUAAGAUGCGUUCUUAUCAAAUCAAAAAUUAUUUUGGACCACCAUCUUAAGAACACGUGUCAUUCUAAAACGUAUCCGAGGACAUAUAUUUUUUAUAUUCUGUGAUGUAUUCCAUUAUAUAGAUAAUUGUAAUAUUGAAAUUAUAUAUUUGACACAAGUAUAUUUUUUAUUUACAAAUAUAUACCUAAUUUCAU